UACGGGGUGGGGAAGCGUUGUUCGGAAUUAUGGGGCGUAAAGAGCUCGUAGGCGGUUCGUCGCGUCGGCUGUGAAAUCCCGAGGCUCAACCUCGGGUCUGCAGUCGAUACGGGCGGACUGGAGUACUGCAGGGGAGACUGGAAUUCCUGGUGUAGCGGUGAAAUGCGCAGAUAUCAGGAGGAACACCGGUGGCGAAGGCGGGUCUCUGGGCAGUUACUGACGCUGAGGAGCGAAAGCGUGGGGAGCGAACAGG
RNAcentral lists this ribosomal RNA (253 nucleotides) under uncultured bacterium. Its description in RNAcentral is "partial 16S ribosomal RNA". It matches the Rfam family "Bacterial small subunit ribosomal RNA", at positions 524 to 776 of the family's 1533-position model. The record is from RNAcentral.